GACACACCACACCAUGAAAUGUUAUCUUUUUUCCCCUCAACACAAUAGGUUGCCAGAAAAAAGGAAUGUGAAAUGGAGACUGUUAAUAUGGACAUAUCCUAAGAUACAGCAUACCAUUUGAGAAAGUAAAUACACUACACUUUGGCAUGAAGGAAAAUUAACUCUGCCAUGAAUUAGUGAAAACAGGUUUUCUAUCCUGUUCAUCACCAGAAAUAAUCCCUUAACAAGAAACUCUUCCGUAGAUUGUGAAGAUCAGAUCUGAUUCAGAAAGGCAGUGUGGCAGGUAUGCAGAGAAUCAUAUAAUCUGUCUUGAUGAUACAAUUCCACUGAGUCCUGGCUAUAACACUCUCGAUGUCCACAUCACUGGUUGCAGUCUUACAAGCACGGAAGGUAAGAAAGUAGGUUCUUACAUGUAUUAUAUGCAUUAUAGUAUUUCAAUUCGUUUGAAUUUAGAUAAACCUGAAAAA
Molecule: long non-coding RNA, 467 nt
Filed under: Manacus vitellinus (golden-collared manakin)
Lineage: Eukaryota; Metazoa; Chordata; Aves; Passeriformes; Pipridae
Description: lncRNA (ENSMVIG00005008157.1)
Source: RNAcentral